ACAGUAAGGACAGCUUUUGAAAGCCCCAUAAGAAAUACACGUAACGGACCACAGAACAACAAUAAUCGACCGUUGGGUAAGGACAUGACCUUGAAUUUUGGCUUGAAACUGUAGUGGCAAACCUUGUUACUAAAUAAAAUUUACCACCAUGUCAACAUUGUGCGUCAAAUUUGACAUUUUAGGUGUUUGGCAUUUAAUAUUGUAACUGUGAUUUAUUAUUUUUACUAAAUAGAAAAUGCGCGUUCGAACAAAUAAAUAGAAUAAAUAAUCUUGUGGAAACUGUACACAGGGCACAGGGGUGCGGUAUGCUGGUCUGGACACAGUUACGAGGACUGCUUUUAUAUAUCGGCCACAUGAAGGGCUGCAACAUAAAAGGUGGAUGCUUCAUGUAGCAUCUUAAGCUCGCUACUCACGUUCCAACGCCGCAGUACAAUUGUUUUGGAUAUGACGAAAUUGAAGUGUUUUUGAACGUCUGUGUAUGCGAUCAAGCAAAUCGGUUGGAUGUGGACGGUUGGUGAACAAGUCUGUCUGCAGCAGCAAUCCUGUUGUAUUGGAUGGAAAUUUGAUCAUGUGUGGACAUGACUCAACAGUGUAUGUUAUUCAAACCGUGAGAGCAGCUAUAAAAGUACAUUUUCGUCAUUUCGUCAGACAUGUUGUCAUCAGGAUCGCAAAUUUUUAACUGCAAGUUCGUAACGUGUGUAUGUACUUUUUAACAGAAUUGUACAACAGUUGCAUCCAAUACAAUCAUACAUAGUCUAAGAGCCAGUGGCCGGCUACCUGUAUGUAAUUGACCAGACCUCGAAUUUUGUACAGAGACUCUUCUCGAUCCAACAUACAAGGGGUGGGGACUUACUAAGCCCAGCGCGGCUGGCGCAGCUGGAGCUCAGGUACGCCAGGUACCAAAAAAUGACUAUUUUUAAAUGCAUUUGACCACGUCUGCCAAUUGGAAAUUUUAAAAUAUAUGUUUAUUUUUAUUAAAAAGUAACCAUGGCAGACCAUUAUCACGCGUCUAACAUCGUGGCAGACAAUUCUGAAAGUGCCAAAAAAUAUAAAAUUUUCAAACUAAUUCUGACCAAGUCUGCCAUUAACAUAUUUUGUUUAUUGUAGUCUUAGAAUAUUAUAUUUAUCACGGCAGACGUUUUUAUUGAGUAUACACUUCAGCAGAUAACAAAAUCUUAACUACUACCCGAGCAGAUAUAUAAAAAUGACGCAUUAUAUCUUACAUUUAUUUCAUCUGCUUUGUAAUUAAAUUUAUUGUUGUUUUUAAAAAUUGAUAUUUCUGUAGGAAUUCACAUAUCGGAUCCGAUAACUCCUGUACCUCUAGCGUUAUGUCAUUUAGAUUGUAGUAUUUGUAAAACGGUCAAAUCCGUGCUUUCUAAAUGUCUGGAACCAAAUAUUGAUCAGGAACCACCAUACAAUACAGAUGCAUUUUUAAUUGAUGGGUUUUUCAAUCUUCAUUCUAUGAAAGAAGUACCAAAAACAUUAGAAAAUAUUUCCAAAAAAAUUUUGCAGAUGAUAACAAAAUAUCUAGCACGAAGAAUCGACGUAAUUUUUGCAUCCAUCUAUAAAAGACAAUGAAAGAAGUCUACGACAUGAAGCAUUGUUAAUUGACUUCACAAUUUCUGGGCCUGACCAGGUACGACCAUCAGAUUUUACAAAAGAGAUAAAAAAUAUGAAAUUUAAAGAACCUCUCAUUGAUUUCUUUAUUAAAGAUUGGUGUAGUGAUGAUUUGUCGGUAAUCAACUGAUACAUUUGAACUUUCGAAACUGUCAUUCUUAACGAACUGUUAAUGAUAUUAUACAAUCAAAUAUCAAUUUUUAAAAACAACAAUAAAUUUAAUUUCAAUGAAAUAAAUGUAAGAUAUAAUGCGUCAUUUUUAUAUAUCUGUUCGGGUAGACUUGGUCAAAUUUAGUUUGAAAAUUUUAUAUUUUUUGGCACUUUCAAAAUCGUCUGCCACGAUGUUAGACGCGUGAUAAUGGUCUGCCAUGGUUAUUUUUUAAUAAAAAUAAACAUAUAUUUUAAAAUUUCCAGAUGGCAGACAUGGUCAAAUGCAUUUAAAAUUAGUAAUUUUUUGAUACCUGGCGUACCUGAGCUCCAGCUACGCCAGCCGCGCUGGGCUUAGUGAGUCCUCAGUCCUUGUAUGUUGGAUCGAGGAGACUCUCUGUACAAAAUUCGAGGUCUGGUCAAUUACAUACAGGUAGCCGGCCACUGGCUCUUAGACUAACAUCAUCAAAGGCGUUGAAGUGACAGAGAAGUUUAUCAUAUAUGAUGACAUUACGUGCAAUGGCAAAAUAACUACAUGUUUCACAGAUUCCAAGGGAAAUUUAAAGAAGCCCCUGAAGCAGGUUUUUUCAUUGUCCCUGCAAUCACGAGGUGGUCUACCACUGUAGUCCAUGUUACUAUGAAAAGGUUCUCAGAAUCACUUCACUAAUUUAACUAACAACAAAAAUUCAACCAAAAACAUCAAAGUACUUUUCCCAAGGAAGAUGAAAACAACAGCGUUCACUUUCUGACUCUUCAAACGGUUAACACUUGGCGAAAAUUGAAGGCGUUGACAAAAUAGGUAGUUGAUAUGUUCAUGUUGAAAUUAACUUGGUAAAGUGAUAGACUUUUAUUAAUGAAUAAAAUAAAUAUAAGCACAA
Long non-coding RNA from Zophobas morio, 2642 nucleotides. RefSeq lists it as uncharacterized. The record is from RefSeq and is a predicted model, not a curated record. NCBI's taxonomy places the organism in Eukaryota, Metazoa, Arthropoda, Insecta, Coleoptera, Tenebrionidae. The transcript is spliced from 3 exons.